RNAcentral lists this ribosomal RNA (503 nucleotides) under uncultured bacterium. RNAcentral describes it as "partial 16S ribosomal RNA". It matches the Rfam family "Bacterial small subunit ribosomal RNA", at positions 30 to 523 of the family's 1533-position model. The record is from RNAcentral.
AUUGAACGCUGGCGGCAGGCUUAACACAUGCAAGUCGAGCGGGGUGAUGGUGCUUGCACUAUCACUUAGCGGCGGACGGGUGAGUAAUGCUUAGGAAUCUGCCUAUUAGUGGGGGACAACAUCUCGAAAGGGAUGCUAAUACCGCAUACGUCCUACGGGAGAAAGCAGGGGAUCACUUGUGACCUUGCGCUAAUAGAUGAGCCUAAGUCGGAUUAGCUAGUUGGUGGGGUAAAGGCCUACCAAGGCGACGAUCUGUAGCGGGUCUGAGAGGAUGAUCCGCCACACUGGGACUAAGCAACGGCCCAGACUCCUACGGGAGGCAGCAGUGGGGAAUAUUGGACAAUGGGGGGGACCCUGAUCCAGCCAUGCCGCGUGUGUGAAGAAGGCCUUAUGGUUGUAAAGCACUUUAAGCGAGGAGGAGGCUCUUUUGGUUAAUACCCAAGAUGAGUGGACGUUACUCGCAGAAUAAGCACCGGCUAACUCUGUGCCAGCCGCCGCCGUAA